UCGAGAAUCUUCCGCAAUGGGCGCAAGCCUGACGGAGCGAUGCCGCGUGAGGGAUGAAGGUCUUCGGAUUGUAAACCUCUGUCACCGUGGAGGAACAGAAUGACUGUACACGGAGAGGAAGUCACGGCUAACUACGUGCCAGCAGCCGCGGUAAUACGUAGGUGACUAGCGUUGUUCGGAUUUAUUGGGCGUAAAGGGUCCGCAGGGGGCCGGCUAAGUCUGAUGUGAAAUCCCGAAGCUUAACUUCGGAACGGCAUUGGAAACUGGCUGGCUAGAGCAUCGGAGAGGAGAGUGGAAUUCCAGGUGUAGCGGUGAAAUGCGUAGAUAUGGGGAGGAACACCAGUGGCGAAGGCGGCUUUCUGGACGGUGUCUGACACUGAGGCGCGAAAGCCAGGGGAGCGAACG
This 405-nucleotide ribosomal RNA is filed under the name uncultured prokaryote. RNAcentral describes it as "bacterial SSU rRNA". It matches the Rfam family "Bacterial small subunit ribosomal RNA", at positions 355 to 774 of the family's 1533-position model. The record is from RNAcentral.